This 274-nucleotide ribosomal RNA is filed under the name uncultured bacterium. RNAcentral describes it as "partial 16S ribosomal RNA". It matches the Rfam family "Archaeal small subunit ribosomal RNA", at positions 473 to 747 of the family's 1478-position model. The record is from RNAcentral.
AAACCAGCACCUCAAGUGGUCAGGAGGAUUAUUGGGCCUAAAGCAUCCGUAGCCUGCUGCAUAAGUUUUCGGUUAAAUCCAUACGCUCAACGUAUGGGCUGCCGGGAAUACUGUGCAGCUAGGGAGUGGGAGAGGUAGACGGUACUCGGUAGGAAGGUGUAAAAUCCUUUGAUCUAUUGAUGACCACCUGUGGCGAAGGCGGUCUACCAGAACACGCUCGACGGUGAGGGAUGAAAGCUGGGGGAGCAAACCGGAUUAGAAACCCUAGUAGUCC